UAUCAGAAGUGCGAAUGCUGACAUAAGUAACGAUAAAGCGGGUGAAAAGCCCGCUCGCCGGAAGACCAAGGGUUCCUGUCCAACGUUAAUCGGGGCAGGGUGAGUCGACCCCUAAGGCGAGGCCGAAAGGCGUAGUCGAUGGGAAACGGGUUAAUAUUCCCGUACUUGGUGUUACUGCGAAGGGGGGACGGAGAAGGCUAUGUUGGCCGGGCGACGGUUGUCCCGGUUUAAGCGUGUAGGUGUGUGUUCCAGGUAAAUCCGGUUCACUUUAACACUGAGGCGUGACGACGAGGCACUACGGUGCUGAAGCAACAAAUGCCCUGCUUCCAGGAAAAGCCUCUAAGCAUCAGGUAACAUCAAAUCGUACCCCAAACCGACACAGGUGGUCAGGUAGAGAAUACCAAGGCGCUUGAGAGAACUCGGGUGAAGGAACUAGGCAAAAUGGUGCCGUAACU
Molecule: ribosomal RNA, 455 nt
Filed under: Salmonella enterica
Lineage: Bacteria; Pseudomonadati; Pseudomonadota; Gammaproteobacteria; Enterobacterales; Enterobacteriaceae
Also listed under: 3 other names
Description: partial 23S ribosomal RNA
Rfam family: Bacterial large subunit ribosomal RNA
Source: RNAcentral